RNAcentral lists this long non-coding RNA (272 nucleotides) under Bos taurus (domestic cattle). RNAcentral describes it as "long non-coding RNA NONBTAT023506". Lineage: Eukaryota; Metazoa; Chordata; Mammalia; Artiodactyla; Bovidae. The record is from RNAcentral.
GCAGAUUUGUUUGCUCAUGGCUUUUUUUUUGUUGUUGCCAUCCCAGUUAAGUUGAAACAGGGCGGAGGAAGAGCUCCAGCAGCCCUGCGAGAGCCUGGAAGAGGGCUUCAGCAGUGAUCGGCUUAGCAAGGUCAAGGCAUUCUUGUAGGAGCAGCGUGCAGGGCUGGACAUGGGGUUCUAGUCCUACUCGGCACCUGGGUUUCCCACUUCACCCGCUGCGACUGCCUCUUCGUGAAUCUUUACUGCGUUUGUAAUGUCUCCAUGUGCACAGC